CUACGGGUGGCUGCAGUGGGGAAUAUUGGACAAUGGGGGAGACCCUGAUCCAGCAAUGCCGCGUGUGUGAAGAAGGCCUGCGGGUAGUAAAGCACUUUCGGUUGGGAGGACUGCUUCUAGCACUAAUAUUGUUGGAAGUUGACGUUACCUUCAGAAGAAGCACCGGCUAACUCCGUGCCAGCAGCCGCGAUAAUACGGAGGGUGCAAGCGCUAAUCGGAAUUACUGGGCGUAAAGCGCGCGUAGGCGGCUAGAUCAGUCGGGUGUGAAAGCCCCGGGCUUAACCUGGGAACUGCAUCCGAUACUGUCUAGCUUGAGUACAGGAGAGGAGAGUGGAAUUCCACAUGUAGCGGUGAAAUGCGUAGAUAUGUGGAGGAACACCAAUGGCGAAGGCAGCUCUCUGGCCUGAUACUGACGCUGAGGUGCGAAAGCGUGGGGAGCAAACAGGAUUAGAUACCCGGGUAGUC
Molecule: ribosomal RNA, 465 nt
Filed under: uncultured bacterium
Lineage: Bacteria
Description: partial 16S ribosomal RNA
Rfam family: Bacterial small subunit ribosomal RNA
Source: RNAcentral